UAUUCAUGUAGAAGUCAUAGAUGGUCAUUUGUUGUCUUCUAGAGAUAUUACUCAUGAAACACUUCCCAUAGAAGUAGCAACAAAUGAUCAUAAUAGUUGCAUAAUCUUUAAUAUAAUUAGAUCUCUUUUUAAUUCAAUUAUUUUAGGUUUAUUAUAGUUAGAAAAGUAUAAUUCUUAUAUAGAUUGAAUUUCUCCUACCCUUGACUUUUCUAAAUGCAUAAUUAAGAGUGAAAUUAAUCCAAUAGAAAGACAUAAGUUUAGCACAAUUAAACCUACAUUUAUAGGUAUAAGAGUUUUUUUACAUGCUGCAAAAGAAGGAUCACUUUGUGUCAUUUAUGCCAUACUUAUUUUUAAUGACGCAAAGACUUCCAGUGGCAUUCACAGCUAAUAUCAAGAAUUUCAAGAUGUAUUUAAGAAGAAGAAUGUGGAUACUCUUCGAAAAUAUUGUCCCUAUGAUUGUUCAAUUGACCUUCAAAGAGGAGCAUAAUUG
Molecule: long non-coding RNA, 490 nt
Filed under: Physcomitrium patens
Lineage: Eukaryota; Viridiplantae; Streptophyta; Bryopsida; Funariales; Funariaceae
Description: long non-coding RNA (PPAT_LNC000587)
Source: RNAcentral